AGGUAAGCUACUAAGAGCGAAUGGUGGAUGCCUUGACUGGUAAAGGCGAUGAAGGACGUACUAGACUGCGAUAAGCUACGGGGAGCUGUCAAGAAGCUUUGAUCCGUAGAUUUCCGAAUGGGGCAACCCAAUGUAUAGAGAUAUGCAUUACCUAUAUAGGAGCGAACGAGGGGAAUUGAAACAUCUUAGUACCCUCAGGAAAAGAAAUCAAUAGAGAUUGCGUCAGUAGCGGCGAGCGAAAGCGCAAGAGGGCAAACCCAGUGCUUGCACUGGGGGUUGUAGGACUGCAAUGUGCAAGAGGUAAGUUUAGCAGAACAUUCUGGAAAGUAUAACCAUAGAGGGUGAUAGUCCCGUAUGCGAAAAACAAACCUUAGCUAGCAGUAUCCUGAGUAGGGCGGGACACGAGGAAUCCUGUCUGAAUCCGGGUCGACCACGAUCCAACCCUAAAUACUAAUACCAGAUCGAUAGUGCACAAGUACCGUGAGGGAAAGGUGAAAAGAACUGAGGUGAUCAGAGUGAAAUAGAACCUGAAACCAUUUGCUUACAAUCAUUCAGAGCCCUAUGUAGGAAUACAGGGUGAUGGACUGCCUUUUGCAUAAUGAGCCUGCGAGUUGUGGUGUCUGGCAAGGUUAAGCAAACGCGAAGCCGUAGCGAAAGCGAGUCUGAAUAGGGCGCUUAGUCAGAUGCUGCAGACCCGAAACGAAGUGAUCUAUCCAUGAGCAAGUUGAAGCUAGUGUAAGAACUAGUGGAGGACUGAACCCAUAGGCGUUGAAAAGCCCCGGGAUGACUUGUGGAUAGGGGUGAAAGGCCAAUCAAACUUCGUGAUAGCUGGUUCUCUCCGAAAUAUAUUUAGGUAUAGCGUUGUGUCGUAAUAUAAGGGGGUAGAGCACUGAAUGGGCUAGGGCAUACACCAAUGUACCAAACCCUAUCAAACUCCGAAUACCUUAUAUGUAAUCACAGCAGUCAGGCGGCGAGUGAUAAAAUCCGUCGUCAAGAGGGAAACAACCCAGACUACCAGCUAAGGUCCCUAAAUCUUACUUAAGUGGAAAACGAUGUGAAGUUACUUAAACAACCAGGAGGUUGGCUUAGAAGCAGCCAUCCUUUAAAGAAAGCGUAAUAGCUCACUGGUCUAGUGAUUUUGCGCGGAAAAUAUAACGGGGCUAAAGU
This 1167-nucleotide ribosomal RNA is filed under the name Campylobacter jejuni. RNAcentral's name for it is "partial 23S ribosomal RNA". It matches the Rfam family "Bacterial large subunit ribosomal RNA", at positions 1 to 1188 of the family's 2925-position model. The record is from RNAcentral. Lineage: Bacteria; Pseudomonadati; Campylobacterota; Epsilonproteobacteria; Campylobacterales; Campylobacteraceae.